UACAGAGGGGGGCAAGCGUUGUUCGGAAUUACUGGGCGUAAAGGGCGCGUAGGCGGCGACCCAAGUCAGAUGUGAAAGUCCUGGGCUUAACCUGGGGACUGCAUUUGAUACUGGGUUGCUUGAAUUCGGGAGAGGAUAGCGGAAUUCCCAGUGUAGAGGUGAAAUUCGUAGAUAUUGGGAAGAACACCGGUGGCGAAGGCGGCUAUCUGGACCGACAUUGACGCUGAGGCGCGAAAGCGUGGGGGAGCAAACAGG
Molecule: ribosomal RNA, 255 nt
Filed under: uncultured bacterium
Lineage: Bacteria
Description: partial 16S ribosomal RNA
Rfam family: Bacterial small subunit ribosomal RNA
Source: RNAcentral